This is a non-coding RNA of Microcebus murinus (gray mouse lemur), 487 nucleotides long. NCBI's taxonomy places the organism in Eukaryota, Metazoa, Chordata, Mammalia, Primates, Cheirogaleidae. The record is from RefSeq and is a predicted model, not a curated record.
CAGUGACUUCACCAUUCUGAGCACUCAACAGGUGACAGUAAAGGGGCAGGAUUCUCCCCAUGUUUUUUCCCAUCUGCAGGAUAUGUCUGUUUCAAAUACCACUCAAAUACCUUUAACCUCAGACCCUGGCCCCGGAAUCUUCUUUGUGACAGGUAUCCUCAGUUUCAUCGCGGGACCUUGCAUCUUCCUUUUCCUCAUUCACCUGGUGAUUUAUCAUUUCAAAAAGAAAAGAAAGUGCCAAGGGAAUGAUCUGGUGAGGAGAGAUUCAGGAAGGGAGACGUUCCUGAGUGCCGAAGAGAUGGAGUGCGUAUGUGAGGAUGCUGAGUUCGAAGACCUUGGGAUGCAACUGGAAGAAUCAAUAUGCAUAUAUUAAAACUUUUGUUACGUUUUGGUCCAGACAGUCACUGUGUGUGUUCAGAUAAGAUAACGCUGACUUGUAUUCCAGUUUUUUGUACGUUGUCCAAUAAUAAAUACUCCAGUUCUUCCA